GGUUAAGCGACUAAGCGUACACGGUGGAUGCCCUGGCAGUCAGAGGCGAUGAAGGACGUGCUAAUCUGCGAAAAGCGUCGGUAAGGUGAUAUGAACCGUUAUAACCGGCGAUGUCCGAAUGGGGAAACCCAGUGUGAUUCGUCACACUAUCGUUAACUGAAUACAUAGGUUAACGAGGCGAACCGGGGGAACUGAAACAUCUAAGUACCCCGAGGAAAAGAAAUCAACCGAGAUUCCCCCAGUAGCGGCGAGCGAACGGGGAGCAGCCCAGAGUCUGAAUCAGCUUGUGUGUUAGUGGAACGGUCUGGAAAGUCCGACGGUACAGGGUGAUAGUCCCGUACACCAAAAUGCACAGGCUGUGAACUCGAAGAGUAGGGCGGGACACGUGGUAUCCUGUCUGAAUAUGGGGGGACCAUCCUCCAAGGCUAAAUACUCCUGACUGACCGAUAGUGAACCAGUACCGUGAGGGAAAGGCGAAAAGAACCCCGGCGAGGGGAGUGAAAAAGAACCUGAAACCGUGUACGUACAAGCAGUGGGAGCACCUUCGGGUGUGACUGCGUACCUUUUGUAUAAUGGGUCAGCGACUUAUAUUCUGUAGCAAGGUUAACCGUAUAGGGGAGCCGCAGGGAAACCGAGUCUUAACUGGGCGUUAAGUUGCAGGGUAUAGACCCGAAACCCGGUGAUCUAGCCAUGGGCAGGUUGAAGGUUGGGUAACACUAACUGGAGGACCGAACCGACUAAUGUUGAAAAAUUAGCGGAUGACUUGUGGCUGGGGGUGAAAGGCCAAUCAAACCGGGAGAUAGCUGGUUCUCCCCGAAAGCUAUUUAGGUAGCGCCUCGUGAAUUCAUCUUCGGGGGUAGAGCACUGUUUCGGCUAGGGGGUCAUCCCGACUUACCAACCCGAUGCAAACUACGAAUACCGAAGAAUGUUAUCACGGGAGACACACGGCGGGUGCUAACGUCCGUCGUGAAGAGGGAAACAACCCAGACCGCCAGCUAAGGUCCCAAAGUCAUGGUUAAGUGGGAAACGAUGUGGGAAGGCACAGACAGCCAGGAUGUUGGCUUAGAAGCAGCCAUCAUUUAAAGAAAGCGUAAUAGCUCACUGGUCGAGUCGGCCUGCGCGGAAGAUGUAACGGGGCUAAACCAUGCACCGAAGCUGCGGCAGCGACACUAUGUGUUGUUGGGUAGGGGAGCG
Molecule: ribosomal RNA, 1194 nt
Filed under: Klebsiella pneumoniae
Lineage: Bacteria; Pseudomonadati; Pseudomonadota; Gammaproteobacteria; Enterobacterales; Enterobacteriaceae
Description: partial 23S ribosomal RNA
Rfam family: Bacterial large subunit ribosomal RNA
Source: RNAcentral